Molecule: RNA transcript, 916 nt
Organism: Coffea arabica (coffee)
Lineage: Eukaryota; Viridiplantae; Streptophyta; Magnoliopsida; Gentianales; Rubiaceae
Source: RefSeq, a predicted model, not a curated record
UUGUACGUGUGGGUCCAGAUUCUUUUUCUUCUCAGAAGAUGAUGGGAUUUGAUAAGAAGGUGCCGGGAUUUGGUGGAUGAGGGGCUCAAGGUGAAAGGGGCUGGUGGAAAGGAUGAUGGAGAUUGAAGAUGAACUGAUGAUGAUUUUGAUGGAGGUUUCGACAUUCUUCCAUGGUUCCAGAUGUUUUACUGGAAACAUUAACCUUUACCGACCAUCAUUUCAGGCUAUGAUCAAUGGAAGAUUUGUGAGAGCUACGCACAUUGUAACAGCUAUGAUCCUAUGGAUGAAAGACAUUUAGGUUUUUCUUUUGUUGCUCAUUACCCUGCUAUGAUUUGUGUAAGGAUCCUUGCACUGUAAUUGAUUUAUGCAAUAGGCCAUCGUACUACAAUAAGAAGGUUUAUUCACUAAAUAAGGUUGAAUACUCGGUGGCAGAUCAGUAAAUUACAUAGUUAAUGACCAUGAUUUUUAUUUACCUCUUUGGAAAAGAAGGAAUGAUGUAGCUAAUAGCAUCUAGGGAUAAAAAUCCAGAGAAGACUUUAAAUUCCUUUUUUUCUUAUUCUUUGUAAAUGCUUCUUUUUCCCCCUGUCUGCAUUAUGGUUCUACAUUUGUUGAUGGGAUUAUAAGAGUCCGUGUUGGAAUUAUAAGAUGGUUGGUUUCUAUCCUAUUUGGACUAACAAGCAUGAUUACAAUUUGACAAAUGGUUGUGCUUCUAGAAAUUGACAAACAUGGAAUGCUAUUCAAGGUAUUAGCUCUGGCUCUGCAGUAUGGUGUAAACUAGACACAGUUCUUCAACUGGAUAUACUAAUGAAAAGCACUGUAGAUUUUUAUUCUCCUUUCUUUUUCUUCUUAGUGUCUUUUUGUUCCUGCAUAUACAUGAUUUAAGCAUAUUGCAAAUUGUUAAAUGGUGGUUAAGUUU